Molecule: long non-coding RNA, 540 nt
Organism: Bactrocera oleae (olive fruit fly)
Lineage: Eukaryota; Metazoa; Arthropoda; Insecta; Diptera; Tephritidae
Source: RefSeq, a predicted model, not a curated record
AAAACAAAAUAUUAUUUUUAUGAUUGACAACAAAAAUUUAAUUUUGUAUAAUUUCGGUUUCUUUUAGUUAUGCAUAUUCUUAGUUAUAACGUGGAAUAAAACUUGUGCUGACAAAGCUUCAUCCGCAAUGGCCCUACUAUACUUACUAAGUUGAUAUGGUUUAUCCAGAUAGUAAUCGUAUAGAACCCAAUUUCUGGAAAAUUUCAACCAAUGGCAGAAAUCAUUUUAGUUCUCUCCAUUCCCAAAUAUUCCUCGCUAUUGUGGUAUAGCUUGGACGUUGCUAUGUAAACAUCUCCGAUCUCCCAAUUCCUAUGACAGUAGGGUCUAUCUAGCCGGAGGAAACCCGGAUUUUUAUCCAACGCAAAACUAUCAACUCGUCAGCUUUACUAAAAAUUGUGAAGAAUAUUUUACAACAACAAAAAAAUACGGAGAUAUCCUGAUCGCAUAGAUCUAACCAAACUUUUUAAGAACUGACGAAACUGAACGAUGGUAAAAUCGGAACAAUAAUAGUUACAGAGCAAUAUUUGCUUAAAAGAAAAA